Andrographis paniculata is the source of this 6176-nucleotide long non-coding RNA. RefSeq lists it as uncharacterized. The transcript has 7 exons. The record is from RefSeq and is a predicted model, not a curated record. Lineage: Eukaryota; Viridiplantae; Streptophyta; Magnoliopsida; Lamiales; Acanthaceae.
UAUUCUUAACGCUAUUGUGAUGGAUCAUUUCCAACACUACAAAAAGUUAGGGCAAAUAAAUUUUCUCCCUUUCAUCUCAUUCCCUUCUUCCGCUGCGUGAGAGGACCAACAUCGCCUCAUCUUUCUAUCAGUGACAAGCUACUCCGGCGCCGGCCUUUAGGUAAGGAUUUUGGUGAUUUCCCCAAUUUGAAUCCGCACAGAUGUUCGGGUUCUCAAAGCCCCAUUCAAUCUGCGGAUUUGUGAAAUCCGCCUGAAAGAAGAUUGUCUUACGAGUGCAUUUCUGUGAUUGUAAAGGACAAUUAUGUAAGUGGGUUUGUAGUUUUUCAAUUUCUUCUUAAUCUAUCGUGUUCUUGGUUGUUUGAGAAGCAAUAGAUUAGGAGAAUUAAGGAUUUUCUAAACCCAGCUCUAUAAAUAUUUAUAUAUAUAUAUACAUAAAGAUCGAUGUUUUACUAGUAUGGUAGUGAAUAAGAGUGGGUGUUUAUUGCUUCUAGUUUUUGUCCUCAUUACUUGUUGCGAAAAAAUAUAGAAAAAAAAAGAAAUUGAAAAUCAUUGAUACCCAAACUUAUGGCGAAGUCAAGGUUGUGUCAAAUAUUUUUAUCUAGUGCAUCUUCGAAAUACCUUUUCAUUAAAAUGAAUUUGGGAUAUACAUAGAGACUGAUGUCUUAGGCUUAUUCCCAUACCGACUUUAGAUUUGAAAUUGUUUUGUUGUGGUUACCUCAAUAUAUUUUCGGAUAGGGAUAAUAGUUGCUAGUAUGUUUUCAAUAGGUUAAAUUAUGGUGUGAUUGCCCUUUUAUAAGUUAUAUGGUUCUAAUUCAAUUCCAAAAGUGAGAAUGCAUAUUGUGACUUAGUGCAUGUUUAUAGUGUUGUUGUAGUUAAUAUAGAUAUCACAUUUUGGGUGUUGCUUAAAUUAAAGAUGGCCACAAAAAUAUGAGUGGGGACAAACAUCACAAGAUUUCAAUUAUUCAAAGUAUUGAAGAUCAGGGAAGUAAUUUGUAGAUUAUAUUCGAUAAGGUAGGUGAUUGAUAGAUGGAUGGAUGUUGAUGAGUUUGAAUGUGAAUAUAUAUAUAUGUACAAAUAUUAAUUAGAUGAUGAUGAAAAGUUAUAAUUAAUCGUCUGCGGAUAUAUUUAAAAAUAGACAUUGAGGUUGAGAAAUGAUUAUUUAUUUAUUUAUGCAAUAUCUUGGUGGUCUCCAUCGCCGGCACUCCAAAGUCUCUCUUUUCCUCCAAUGCUUUCUCUUUAAAGAAACUUGUUGGUCUUUGAGAUCCUUCUAUAUCUUCUAAUACUUUCAUCAAACUUAACUUGUCUGUUAUUGUUGAUGUAAUUUUUCAACAAUAAAAAGUAAAAUCCAAAAAUAGAAAUUAUCUUCGAAUUUGAUAAAAUAAAUGCCUGAGAUUAAGAAUCUCUAGACACUGUAGGAUACAUAGAUAAACUAGGGAAAUAAAAACUACAGACUGAAAAAGUAAAGUGGUGAUCCCCAAAAGCAAUUCUCUUGAAUUUGAUGUCGAUUGAAGAUGGUUUCUUAGGUCCCGAACAGACCUAUUUAAAACCCAUAUCAACUGCCACUACCGAGUCGUGUUUUCGUAUCCGCUUAUCGGUUGAAAGUUCCUUCAACCGCCCGAAAACUGCUUUUUCACCCGACCUGCACACCUGCUGCUCCGUCUCCUCUUAUCUGUCUUCCACUUGUGUGACCUCAUUUCACCCGACCUAUAUAACGCCCGACCUUAUCAGGUUUGUCCUUCGCGUCCGACCUUAUCACGCCCGAUCUCUGCACCCGAACUCAUCAUGUCUGACCUCUGUGCCCGACCUGAUCACGCCCAACCUCAAUCCCCGACCUUAUCACAUCCGACUUUCACGCCCAACCUUAUCACAUCCGUUCUUAAUGCCCGACCUUAUCACGCCUGAUCUCCAUACCCGACCUGAUCACAUCCGACCUUAGUGCCCGACCUUAUCACGCCCGACCUCCGAGUCCGACGUGAUCACGUCCGACCUUAGUGCCCAACCUUAUCAAGUCCGAUCUCAACGCCCGACCUUAUCACAUCCGACCUUCGCGCCCGACCUUAAUGCCCAACCUUAUCACGCCUAAGCUCCAGGCCCUACCUUAUCAUGCCCGAUCUCUGACCUCCAAGGAAGCCCUUUCCUUAACCGCAUUCGCACUUAUUUUCGGACUCCUUUUUUUUUUAAGAUCCUAUUAUUAUUAACAGGCCCAUUAAAUUCUGUAUCAAUCCUUAACCUAAUUUGAUAGGCCCAUUCUUAAAAACCCUACCCAUUGUUUUUUGUACUCAACAAAUUGCCUCCUCCCGCCCAACUCCUAAACGUCACUUCUUGAACUGCGUGAGAUGCGACGUUUAGGGGUUUGUAACACAGUACUAUCAUUACACUGUGUUAUGUCACAUCGCAGGGUUUAUGAAAAACCCUUCACUUACCCAGCCAUAUUCACGCUUUCAAAAUCCUGAAAUUCUUCUCCCUUUCCAGCGAUCAAUUUCCAAAAAUACCCUGCUUCUUCAUCCUUUGCAACUCCUUCUCAAAUGGCUAACCAAUACAUCCCUGCUCUUUCUUUUGAUGGGGCUGACCCAUCGGUGCCUUCCGUGGCUUCGAGGGUCCUUACCCCUACCAUUUGCCCUUACUAUAUUACAAAUGAAAAUGCUGAUCGUAUGAGAUCCGUCAUCUCUCAGAUUUCUCCGAUAAUCAUCAAUGAUGUCGCAUUCAAACCUGAACGUCUCUUGGAAAACAUCAGAACUCACCUUACUGAUCCAAAAGAUGCGUAUCGCAAAUGGCACGCGAGACUGCUCCCACAUUUUGAGGAACAAUGGAAAAGGCAAGGCAUUGACAAAGCUAUCUUCCUCUCCGCUCAGCCCCUUCACCUAUAGUAGGUGAUGAUCCCGUUCUGGUCUCCUUUGAGGGUCACGAGCCUUCGCCUAAUCACGCUGGUUGGGCCCUUGCCAAACUCCCUGAGAAAGAAAGAGGCUGGACCAGCUUUGUCAACAAAUAUCUGGGUAAGGAAGGUACCCCUGUGUCUGAAUUGAAGCAUACAAACAUUCCUCCUUUUUGGUUGUGCAGGUACAUUCUCCUCAUUCGUAAUCUUCUAUGUAAAUUCAAAGGUGAAUGUCUUGGUUAAAUUUUUUCUCUCUUUACAGAUACAUCAUUCUCUCCCUUUCCAAACUCGUCAUUUCUUCCCAGGUCGACCUAGCCAUCCAACUGGCCAGCGGCCAAUUUUUCUCAUAAGGAACCCUUUUUUUGGCUAACAUUUUUAAGGGGUUAGCUCGAGUGAGCAUCCACCUGACUGAUACCAAAAAGGCGGAUACAGCCGCUUCGGGACCGUUUUGGUUCUUGGAAUUGUGGCUCCGUCUUUACUUCCCCACUGCUUUCUUUGGCCGACUUCCUAUCGCCCCAAACCCUUACAGGUCCAUAGGUUAUGCCUUGGCCAGAUUAACUCCUAAUUCCUCUUAUCUUUAUCCAUCCGACCCUGUCAUCACCCAAAUCUUGACUGAAGACCGUAGCAAUUCCCGCUUCUAUGUCUACGAAACCCUUAUACAAUAUUCGACUAAUCUCUUUUGGCUUCACCCUGACACAUCUUAUUCCGAGACUUAUCCCGAUCCUCUUCCUCAUCUGACCUAUCCCUUUUCUUGGGACUCCGCCAUGAAACCCCGAUCUCUAUUUUCUAGUAAGAGGUCCGACAAGAAAAACCACAGAUUAUUUUACACUUUUAAUUAUCAGCCCCAAUUUCUGGCCCGACAGUUCGGUUGCUGCCAGGGCAUACCGGGACCGCUAGCCCGGCAUCACCUUAUAUCCCAAAGCCCAGAAGGGCUGGUAAUUCCCGAGCUUAUCCCGACCUACCUUUCCCAAGUCACCGACUAUAUCACCUCUAACUUGUAUUUGCCUUUCUGUUUGAAACCUUCUGCGGCCGAGGCGUUUCCUGCCUGGUGGUCGGCCACCUGGCCUGUGAUUGCUCCUCCGACUGACCAAUUGGUUGGGAAACUUGCCCCACCCCCAGUCUUGGCGCUGGGUUCACCUCGAUCGGCUGCUUUUCCGAGAAGAAAAAGGCAGGCGCCUGCUGUAGGCGGAUCCGGAGCAAAGAAACAAAAAUAGAAGGCCGCCCCUGCAAUUGAUAGGCGGGUCAUUGAGGAGUACCUAGCAUCUCUGCCAGUGGAUACCAGCGGGAUGCCAAAAUACCUGAGAAAACAAUUCGAGGACCCUUCAUUGCCGCCAACCACUGCCCCACCUAUCUCUCACCCGACUGAGCAUCAACUGAUCAUGUCUCAACCGACUGCAGCGCAAUCACCCAUCAAUCUGAUUUCUUCUCAUUCAACCGUAGUCCCGACCACACACCAAUCGAGUAUGGUGCCGGCCGGAAACCAACCGACCGCGGUCCCGACCACAAACCAACCGACUGCCAAUCAACCGUCAGAUGCACCAAUGACUCGAGCCGAACAAAGAUCUUCUUAACCCGUCGGUCUUCUAGAAAACCUCCCAACCGCUGGUAAACCGACCAUCGCACAACCGACCUCCCUGCAAGCUGAUGUACACUGGCCGGAGGAAUGGCGGGGAGGCAAAUUUCUCCUACAAUUUUGCCUCCACCUGCUCUCCUACCACCACAGGGGACUGCCGUGGUCCCAGCGAUGCCCGACCAACCCGUCGCCUUCCCCGACUAGAUUGCGGAACCAUCACAGGAACCUGAUGCAAUUGCGGUGAUGUCCGAACCUAGGUCGCAGAAUUACCCGACCCAGUCGUGGCACCACCCGACCAAGCUGCCGCCGAGCUACCCUUACAACCAGUCGCUCAGCCUGUUGGUGAGGUUCCUCCUAUUGCUCCUCAACUAGACCAACUGAUCCCACCGCCUCACGACAUAGAUGAGAUUUCCUCCUCGAAGCCGGGCGAGGCUUCAGUCAAUUUUGCCCCAAGGGGUUCGGGGAUGGAGCUGGCCGUCGCUCACCGUCUUUAACCAGGAGACGAGUCGGUUGCUGGCCCGACUAUUUGCCAUGGUGCCUCCACGAUGUUCCGACUCAUGUCUCCUCCUGAAGCCACUACUGCCUUAAAUCAGGCUACCCAAGAGAUGAACGUUUUGGCCCGAGUGAACCUUCCGACUUCUGCCAUAUCCAUAAUAGAGCGCUGUGCUGACCUAUCCUUCGCCGACCUGAAUCUAGCCGACCUCGAUGCUUUAGUUUAGGUUGCGAUAGAUUUUUUGGUGCAGCCUUCAUUAGAGUCGGAAGCUCCUCCCGUCCUUGAUCGGAUGAUGGCAAGAAUCACCGAGCUUCGAGCCGAACUGCCUUUGAUCCGACCUCCAUCAUCCGAGGCCACGUCAUCUCAACCGACCACUGAUCCAACUAGUCUUGAGACAAACUUGAAGAAGGUCAAUCAAGACUUUAAUCUUGCCAAGGCUAUGCUGGAAGAACUCCGAAAAGCGCGACACAUGCUGGCAGCUGAGAUCUCUCAAAAAUAGAAGAACUCAAACGCCUCCAAGAUCAACUGGAGUCCCUGGAUGACAGCAUCCAGGAAUGAAGUCGCUUGGUGGAGGCACAUUGCCAAACCCAGAUGAAUCUCUGCGAGCAACUCGAACCAACCAUACGAAUGCGACUUGUCCGGGGACACGAAGAAGCCUACCAGCGUCGGCGGGCCACAAAGUCGGAACUAAAGUGGACCGAUCUCCAAACUGCCCUUAGGGCCCUGCUUUCUUCUGUAGCCCUGAUAUAAUUUGUAUAGAGUUCCAGACUUAAUCUAUACAUCCUAUUUUCAGAACAAAGAUCCUAUAUUCUUUGCGUUUUUACUGAAUCAGACAUCAAAACAAAGAUCCAUAUUUUUUGCACAUUUAACAAACCACAAAUUAGACACCACAACACCUAUAUAAACUUCAUACCUCUCACUGUAAAUAUCAUCAGCACCCCCCACAUCAUCACUCAAAAUGGUUUCUCCUCGCAUCUGCGUCCCUUCGUCCAACUGGCAAGGUUCUUUGCAACCAUUCCUAGUAGGAAAACACCCCAUAGGUCAUCACGCUGAAGACCUGAUACAGGUGCUAAAACAACUAGACUUUAAAUUUAGGUUCUCCGGCAGAGGCGGGAGAACCAUAUAUCGUACGAUCCGACUGAUGGAACGUAUAUCCACUGGCUACGAACCCCUUACUGAUAUACUCACUUGCAUAUUUGACCUUGAUCAUCAUCUGGACAUGAUAGAUCAUCAUGUAU